This 460-nucleotide ribosomal RNA is filed under the name uncultured bacterium. RNAcentral's name for it is "partial 16S ribosomal RNA". It matches the Rfam family "Bacterial small subunit ribosomal RNA", at positions 338 to 795 of the family's 1533-position model. The record is from RNAcentral.
CCUACGGGGGGCAGCAGUGAGGAAUAUUGGUCAAUGGACGAGAGUCUGAACCAGCAAAGUAGCGUGAAGGAUGACUGCCCUCUGGGUUGUAAACUUCUUUUAUAUGGGAAUAAAAUGUUCCACGUGUGGGAUUUUGUAUGUACCAUAUUAAUAAGGAUCGGCUAACUCCGUGCCAGCAGCCGCGGUAAUGCGGAGGAUCCGAGCGUUAUCCGGAUUUGUUGGGUUUAAAGGGAGCGUAGGUGGAUUGUUAAGUCAGUUGUGAAAGUUUGCGGCUCAACCGUAAAAUUGCAGUUGAAACUGGCAGUCUUGAGUACAGUAGAGGUGGGCGGAAUGCGUGGUGUAGCGGUGAAAUGCUUAGAUAUCACGAAGAACUCCGAUGGCGAAGGCAGUUCACUGGACUGCAACUGACACUGAGGCUCGAAAGUGUGGGUAUCAAACAGGAUUAGAUACCCGAGUAGUC